AAAAACAUGUCUUUAUGAAAUAAUUAUAAAGUCUGGCCUGCCCACUGAAUUUUAAAGGGCCGCGGUAUUUUGACCGUGCAAAGGUAGCAUAAUCAUUAGUCUUUUAAUUGGAGGCUUGCAUGAAUGGUCGCACAAGAAAUAAACUGUCUUCAACUAAAUUCAUUGAACUUAACUUUUAAGUAAAAAGGCUUAAAUAAAUUAAAGUGACGAUAAGACCCUAUAAAACUUGAUAAAUAAAAUUAAAAAAGGAUAUUAGUUAAAUUAAAACUUUUUUUGUGGAAUUUAUUUUAUUGGGGCGAUAAAAAUAUAAUUAGUAACUGUUUUUAAUAUUUUAAUGAUUAAUAAUCAGAGUUUAGUAAAUGAUCCUCUAAUAGAGAUUAUAAGAUUAAGUUACUUUAGGGAUAACAGCGUGAUUUUCUUUGAGAGUUCUUAUCUACAAGAAAGAUUACGACCUCGAUGUUGAAUUAAAAAAUCUUUAAGGUGUAGCAGCUU
This 492-nucleotide ribosomal RNA is filed under the name Euphausia triacantha. Its description in RNAcentral is "Euphausia tricantha partial 16S ribosomal RNA". It matches the Rfam family "Bacterial large subunit ribosomal RNA", at positions 1809 to 2564 of the family's 2925-position model. Lineage: Eukaryota; Metazoa; Arthropoda; Malacostraca; Euphausiacea; Euphausiidae. The record is from RNAcentral.